CCGGCGACCGGCGCACGGGUGAGUAACACGUAUGAAACCUGCCCGUAGCAGGGGGAUAAGCGGAAGAAAUUCCGUCUAAUACCGCGUAACAACCCAUGGAGGCAUCUCUGUGGGUUUAAAGGAAGCGAUUCCGGCUACGGAUGGUCAUGCGUCGCAUUAGCUUGUUGGCGGGGUAACGGCCCACCAAGGCGACGAUGCGUAGGGGUUCUGAGAGGAAGGUCCCCCACACUGGUACUGAGCACGGACCAGACUCCUACGGAAGGCAGCAG
Molecule: ribosomal RNA, 269 nt
Filed under: uncultured bacterium
Lineage: Bacteria
Description: partial 16S ribosomal RNA
Rfam family: Bacterial small subunit ribosomal RNA
Source: RNAcentral